This 595-nucleotide ribosomal RNA is filed under the name Trichoderma atroviride. RNAcentral's name for it is "eukaryotic LSU rRNA". The stretch from base 206 to 359 matches the Rfam family "5.8S ribosomal RNA". The record is from RNAcentral. Lineage: Eukaryota; Fungi; Ascomycota; Sordariomycetes; Hypocreales; Hypocreaceae.
AACCUGCGGAGGGAUCAUUACCGAGUUUACAACUCCCAAACCCAAUGUGAACCAUACCAAACUGUUGCCUCGGCGGGGUCACGCCCCGGGUGCGUCGCAGCCCCGGAACCAGGCGCCCGCCGGAGGGACCAACCAAACUCUUUUCUGUAGUCCCCUCGCGGACGUUAUUUCUUACAGCUCUGAGCAAAAAUUCAAAAUGAAUCAAAACUUUCAACAACGGAUCUCUUGGUUCUGGCAUCGAUGAAGAACGCAGCGAAAUGCGAUAAGUAAUGUGAAUUGCAGAAUUCAGUGAAUCAUCGAAUCUUUGAACGCACAUUGCGCCCGCCAGUAUUCUGGCGGGCAUGCCUGUCCGAGCGUCAUUUCAACCCUCGAACCCCUCCGGGGGGUCGGCGUUGGGGACCUCGGGAGCCCCUAAGACGGGAUCCCGGCCCCGAAAUACAGUGGCGGUCUCGCCGCAGCCUCUCCUGCGCAGUAGUUUGCGCAACUCGCACCGGGAGCGCGGCGCGUCCACGUCCGUAAAACACCCAACUUUCUGAAAUGUUGACCUCGGAUCAGGUAGGAAUACCCGCUGAACUUAAGCAUAUCAAUAANCGGA